CACCAGGAAUUCCACAUGAACACGGGCACUCUUAUCAUCUUCUUGCUGAAUAAUUACAUCGUUAUGUUAAUGUUAUUAGUGCCUAGGUGAACUGGCUCGCUGAUGUGCAGAUACUAGUAUCACAACAGAAUAGCCACAACUGGUGACCUUGUGGUAGUCGAUAUGCGGUUGGUUACGCUGUGACUUAUGAGCGAGUUUUGGGAGUUUCUAUCAGUUUAGUAUUUGACACCUUGGUUUUUGCAGCCAGCCUUGUCUUUUGUUUGCCAUGCUUUCCCUUCAGCUUUUUUCUGCCAAUCUGAGAGCAGCAUUUCAUCAUCAGCUGCUGCCACCUUCUCUCCUUGCUAACUCCCUUUGUAACCUUUGCUUUGUUCAGUUCCUCCUAUCCCACAUCUUCGGCAUUUUCUGUGCAAAAAAUAAUUAAUUU
Molecule: long non-coding RNA, 424 nt
Filed under: Oryza brachyantha (malo sina)
Lineage: Eukaryota; Viridiplantae; Streptophyta; Magnoliopsida; Poales; Poaceae
Description: long non-coding RNA (OBRA_LNC003265)
Source: RNAcentral